Molecule: ribosomal RNA, 459 nt
Filed under: uncultured bacterium
Lineage: Bacteria
Description: SSU rRNA
Rfam family: Bacterial small subunit ribosomal RNA
Source: RNAcentral
AGAAUCAACGCUGGCGGCGUGCCUAACACAUGCAAGUCGAACGAGAAAGUGGAGCAAUCCAUGAGUAAAGUGGCGACCGGGUGAGUAACACGUGACUAACCUACCUUCGAGUGGGGGAUAACAUCGGGAAACCGAUGCUAAUACCGCAUAACAUCGCAAGAUCAAAGCAGUAAUGCGCUUGAAGAGGGGGUCGCGGCUGAUUAGCUAGUUGGCGGGUAACGGCCCACCAAGGCGAAGAUCGGUAGCCGGCCUGAGAGGGCGCACGGCCACACUGGAACUGAAACACGGUCCAGACUCCUACGGGAGGCAGCAGUGGGGAAUUUUGCGCAAUGGGGGAAACCCUGACGCAGCAACGCCGCGUGGAGGAUGAAGCCCCUUGGGGCGUAAACUCCUUUCGACCAAGACGAUAAUGACGGUACUGGUGGAAGAAGCACCGGCUAACUCUGUGCCAGCAGCCGC